RNAcentral lists this long non-coding RNA (3317 nucleotides) under Phocoena sinus (vaquita). RNAcentral describes it as "lncRNA (ENSPSNG00000018013.1)". The record is from RNAcentral. Lineage: Eukaryota; Metazoa; Chordata; Mammalia; Artiodactyla; Phocoenidae.
AACGGUUAUUCUUAUACUCAGUUCCAGCCAGGCAGACUUCCUGCUCAUCAGCAGAUCCCCCUUUUCAGCCUGUAACUCUGAUGUGCUCUGGAUCAGCUUUUAACUCUUAAUAAUAUAUUAAUAUUCUCUAAACCCCUUCUCCUCCUUUACUGCUUCCCUAUGGUUCUGGCUUCUAUCUGCAGCACAUUUAUCUUCAAAGUAUCAUAUACUUCUAAUCUCUGGAGGCUGGCAGCUUGACUUGGCACUUCAGGGCCCCUUAGCAGGGUGAGCUGUUAAAACAGCACACAUCUCUCACCCCCUUUCCCUCUAUUCCCCCUGGGUUUAGGAAAGGAAGGAUACAUGGGGACCACCUCCUGCCUCUUCACCUCACCACCUUCCUCAGUCCCUCUCCCAACACCUCCAUAAGGUUCUCAGUGGUGCUCACUUGCUUUGCAAGCAGGCUCCCAACAGGGAGGGAGCUACUGUCUACAUGGUCUCUCUGACCAUAAGACAGGGUUCUAUAUCAGUGAGAAAAGUCCCAGACUAGUGGCAGAAAUUUGCACUUUGAACAUGUGUGUUUUUGUGUUGUGGAACCUGAGAUUCCUUAUUUAUUAACAAAGUCUGAUUUCUCUUUUUUUUUUUUUUUUGUCUUUGUUGCUAUAUUUUGUGGGGCUGGGAGAGAUUAGACUAUUCUGACAUGGGGUCCUUUGCAUAAGAGGUACUUGUAGAAGGCAAGAUAUAGGGUUGAAGAAGCACAGCCAGCCUCUAAAAUCAUAGCUCUCUAGUGGCCUUUAAAGAAAGCUGGUCCUCAGCACUCACAAAAUCACUACAGUAGCCUAGUGCUUUUCCGGAAACCUCUUUAGGGAAGGAUGUUAGGUUUGUGGUAAUUAGUGGUCUGAGUUUUUAGAGCAUCGAGAUUUAGGAAUUUUGAGGGGGUCAGGAAGGUGGUUCAGGGUCUGAAUUAUAGAUAAAAGGUUUUCUCUUGUGAAUUUGUUGAUUUUCUUUUUUGUCCCCAUCAUUUCUUUAUACAGACCUCCCUGUUAUCCCAGCUCUGGCCCCUUGCUUGCUUUGGCUUAGGCUUUGGCUUUGGCUUUGGCUUUGGCUUUUGCUUUGCUUUGCUUUAUCAUUGGUUGAUUCCAGCUCCCAAUUAGUGAAGGACACUGCCAUCAGUGAAGGAAUAGUCUGAGUCAUACAGUUGUAAGUAAAAGAAAAUUGCUCUGUUUUGUUUCCCUUUUAAUAACAUUUCAGAAGAAGAAAGCCUUCAACAAAGUUAAUCUGUAUAAUGCUUUGGUUUUCACCUGAAAUUGUAGGAAUUAUCAUUUCCCUCGAGGUAGGGAUUUUCAUGGGGUGGAUUACUUACUGUCCAUGGGAAGGACAGUUUUGUACAGCUUCAUAACUUCCAGAAGACCAAAAACAUAUUUUGGCCCAUUUUUAGAGAAUUAGAAGGGCAGUCUCUCCUACGUACCUCAGAAACUGGAAUUAAAGGCUUGCCCUAUUCAUUCUUUGUCAGAAAUGUAUGAUGGCUGUUGGAAAGAAUGAAGUUUUGCUGAGAACAAAAUAAGGAACAGCUUGUUUUUCACAAACACUAAAACUACAAAGUUUAUCAGUUUUCUCUCUUGAUUUUUUUUUUCCCCAAAAAGAAGGGUAACAAAACGUCAUCUCUGAAAGAGGCUUACUUUACACCCACCUUGUGUCAGUGGUUGGGAUGCCAGGGAAUAGGGAGUGAAACACCUCCAGUGAGCAGUCUUAAAUGUACUGUUGUUUCUUUUCAGUGUUGCAGAUUUGCCAUCCCCUUCAGUGUGAGGGUAGAAAAUGGAAUAAGGUUAGAAGGGAUAUAGAGUAUGCUUUCCUGCUCACAGUAAGGAUUUGGAGAUGACUUUGGUAUGUUGAGUAAAUUUGAAAAUAUUACAAGAUUGACUGGAUGGAUCUAAAACAAAGUUGUUCCACUCCCGUAUUAAGUCCAUUUUGUACUGUUUCACUAGCUAGCAUCUAUACCCCACUUUACUUUUUGUCUUCGUCACAUUUAUCUUAUCCUUUGUCUCCAUAAAUUACAUUUGCAGUUGUUAGCCAUCAGAUGUUUUAGCCACCUACACAAAAGCAAACUGCAUUUAAAAAAAAAAAAAACUUUAUGAGAUAGAGGGAAAAUAUAUUCUUCCCUGUAUCACACUCCUCCCCACCAAAAGCAGCUAGUUAGUUCUCAGAAACUUUCUCCUUUCUCCGUUUUUUACUCAUUUUCAUUUGCCUAUAAUUUGCUUCCAUAAAUUAUUACAGCAGUUUGCGAUAAAUUUUAAAAUAUUUUUCACAGACUUAAGAUUUUUUCCUUUUGAGAAAAGGGGUGCUAGCAAAGUAAAGAGUUGGUUAAAGUAAACUAUCUUAUACUAGAUUCUUUUCCCUUUUCCAUUCUGCUCCUCAUACGUUUACUUCAUUGUCCUUCUAAGGAACUCUUAAUCUUAAAAUUCUACAUUUCCUACUCUUUUUUUUUUUUUGCGAUACGCAGCCCUCUCACUGUUGUGGCCUCUCCCGUUGCGGAGCACAGGCUCCGGACGCGCAGGCUCGGCGGCCAUGGCUCACGGGCCCAGCCGCUCCGCAGCAAGCGGGAUCCUCCUGGACCGGGGCACGAACCUGUGUCCCCUGCAUCGGCAGGCGGACUCUCAACCACUGCGCCACCAGGGAAUCCCAACAUUUCCUACUGUUAAUCAAAUUCUGCUACCUUUUUAAUAACUCUUCCCACAGCAUAUUCUCCAUCUUGAAUUAGCAAUUCUAAAUUCUGAAAAUGUACUUAAUACAAAUAUUAUUUCUACAAGAUAUAGAAAUACAUCUUGUAGAAAUACAUCUUUCCCCUUGUUUGUGGUUGCCCAGGGUUAUUUUGUAAAAUUGAGACUUAAUAUGCUUCAGAGAAUUUAGAUAAACACUGGCCAAGAUUACUGGGAGUAAAAAUAGAUACACUGAGGUAUGGAAAAGCAUUCACAUAGAGCACUUGAACUUCCUUAGAACCUGUUCGGAGAAAAAAAUAUAAAGAGUGUACUAAACCUAACUAAGGUUAUUACAGUCUGGCUGUUUGAAGCACCAUUUUUCCCUCCUGUCUUUUUCCCACUUUCCAGUGUACUCAAGAAAACUGAAAAAUUGUAAUGAAUCAGUUUAAAAUAUUUUAUUUCCUAGAAGCCUUUUUUGCCUGUUGUAAUAUGCAGGACCCUUCUCCUUUGGUCGGAGAGACAGGUAGUUACCUGAAUCUAGGUUGAAAAGGUUAUGUAAAAAGAAAUUAUAAUAAAAGGGAUACUCUGCUUUUCAAAUCCUUGUUUUCUCUUAAUCUAGGUAAGGCAUAUCCAAAAUAAAUAUGU